RNAcentral lists this microRNA precursor (93 nucleotides) under Guillardia theta CCMP2712. RNAcentral describes it as "microRNA mir-598". The record is from RNAcentral. Lineage: Eukaryota; Cryptophyceae; Pyrenomonadales; Geminigeraceae.
UGAUGAUGAUGAUGAUGAUGAUGAUGAUGAUGAUGAUGAUGAUGAUGAUGAUGAUAUUAUCAUUAGCAUCUGCGAUCACUACCACCACAACAA